Molecule: ribosomal RNA, 440 nt
Filed under: uncultured bacterium
Lineage: Bacteria
Description: partial 16S ribosomal RNA
Rfam family: Bacterial small subunit ribosomal RNA
Source: RNAcentral
CCUACGGGUGGCAGCAGUGGGGAAUAUUGCACAAUGGGGGAAACCCUGAUGCAGCGACGCCGCGUGAGUGAAGAAGUAUUUCGGUACGUAAAGCUCUAUCAGCAGGGAAGAAAAUGACGGUACCUGACUAAGAAGCCCCGGCUAACUACGUGCCAGCAACCGCGGUAAUACGUAGGGUGCCAGCGUUAUCCGGAUUUACGGGGUGUAAAGGGAGCGUAGGCGGGAGCGAAAGUCUGGAGUGAAAUCCCAUGGCUGAACCAUGGAAGUGCUUUGGAAACGGGGCAGCUGGAGUGCAGGAGAGGUAAGCGGAAUUCGUAGUGUAGCGGUGAAAUGCGUAGAUAUGAGGAGGAACACCAGUGGCGAAGGCAGCUUACUGGACUGUAACUGACGUUGAGGCUCGAAAGCGUGGGGAGCAAACAGGAUUAGAUACCCGGGUAGUC